This 497-nucleotide ribosomal RNA is filed under the name uncultured bacterium. RNAcentral's name for it is "partial 16S ribosomal RNA". It matches the Rfam family "Bacterial small subunit ribosomal RNA", at positions 28 to 507 of the family's 1533-position model. The record is from RNAcentral.
GAUGAACGCUGGCGGCGUGCCUAAUACAUGCAAGUCGAGCGAACAGACGAGGAGCUUGCUCCUCUGACGUUAUCGGCGGACGUGUGAGUAACACGUGUAUAACCUACCUAUAAUACUGGGAUAACUUCGGGAAACCGUAGCUAAUACCGGAUAAUAUAUUUAACCGCAUGGUUCAAUAGUUAAAGACGUUUUUUCUGUCUCUUUUAGAUUGAUCCGCGCCGCAUUAGCUAGUUGGUAAGGUAACGGCUUACCAAGGCAACGAUGCGUAUCCGACCUGAGAGGGGGAUCGGACACACUGGAACUGAGACACGGUCCAGACGACUACGGGAGGCAGCAGUAGGGAAUAUUACGCAAUGGGCGAAAGCAUGACGGAGCAACGCCGCGUGAGUGAUGAAGGUCUUCGGAGCGUAAAAAUCUGUUAUUAGGGAAGAACAAAUGUGUAAGUAACUAUGCACGUAUUGACGGUACCUAAUAAGAAAGCAACGGCUAACUACGUG